RNAcentral lists this ribosomal RNA (601 nucleotides) under Eleutherodactylus ronaldi. Its description in RNAcentral is "partial 16S ribosomal RNA". The stretch from base 34 to 150 matches the Rfam family "Bacterial large subunit ribosomal RNA", at positions 714 to 852 of the family's 2925-position model. Lineage: Eukaryota; Metazoa; Chordata; Amphibia; Anura; Eleutherodactylidae. The record is from RNAcentral.
GUCUAUCAAGCAAAAAGAAAUUAAGUUUGACCCCCCGAAACUAAGUGAGCUACUUUAGGACAGCUUAAUGGGCAAACCCGUCUCUGUUGCAAAAGAGUGGGAAGAUCUUAAAGUAGAAGUGAUAUACCUAACGAACUUAGCGAUAGCUGGUUAUUUAGGAAAAGAAUUUUAGUUCAACCUAAAGCCCCCUCAAUACCUCAAAAUUAAAAAUUAACUUUAGAGCUACUCAAAUAAGUCACAGCUUGUUUGAAACAGGAUACAACCUCAACCCGUGGGUAAUUAACCAAUCAAGUAGGCCUAAAAGCAGCCACCUUUGAAAAAGCGUCAAAGCUUAUUUCUUCACACACCCCAUAAUCCCUUAAAACACUAAAAACCCCUCAAUAGUACUAAAUAAUCCUAUAUCUCUAUAGGACUCUUUAUGCUAAAACUAGUAACAAGAAGAACCUUCUCUUAUAUGUAAGCAUAGAUCAGAAUAGAAAUACUACUGAUAUUUAACAGCUAUAGCCCGCAGUACCAAACUACUUAGAAAAACCUACUGACUUAGCUGUUAAUCUAACACAAGAACAUAAAAAGAAAGAUUACAAGAAAAAGAAGGAACUCG